UUAGUUAAAACUCGCCAAAUUGCUGGGAAGCCCUAAAGCCCUUAGGCCAAAGCGAAGUCUGAAAAGAUAAGCGUAAAGGAGCGAGAGCAGAAAAAAGUUAAGGGAUUUAAUAAAAGCCGUAAGGCAGUUAUUAAAAACAAUGGGUAAUCAGCAGCCAAGCCUCUAUUUUAAAGGGGAAGGUUCAACGAACAGAGGGUGAGUAUCUUCUUGGUAAAUACGCUAUAAAAGGUUCAAGAAGAUAAUGGUAUGUUCUAGCCCCACUCUGAAAGGAU
Molecule: non-coding RNA, 272 nt
Filed under: Microcystis aeruginosa PCC 9443
Lineage: Bacteria; Bacillati; Cyanobacteriota; Cyanophyceae; Chroococcales; Microcystaceae
Description: Intron_gpI
Rfam family: Group I catalytic intron
About the family: Group I catalytic introns are large self-splicing ribozymes. They catalyse their own excision from mRNA, tRNA and rRNA precursors in a wide range of organisms.
Source: RNAcentral